Molecule: long non-coding RNA, 353 nt
Filed under: Brassica napus (rape)
Lineage: Eukaryota; Viridiplantae; Streptophyta; Magnoliopsida; Brassicales; Brassicaceae
Description: long non-coding RNA (BNAP_LNC026926)
Source: RNAcentral
CGGCAUUGGAGCUGUUCUGCUUCUCUACGUGCUCUUCUGGGUGAAGGCAAGUUCUCAAAACCGGUUCUUGUUUUAAGUUUAUAAUAAAGACCGUUGCAUAUUCAAAAAAAUCUAUAGCUCCUCAUCAUAAUUAAAAAUACCCUUUUUUGUUUUUCCUUUGCAUCAUGCAGUUGGAUCUGUUCACGACUCUAAAGGCACUGUCUUUGCUGGGAGUGUUUCUGUUGUUCGUCGGACACAGAACACUGUCUCACCUCGCAGCAGCAUCGAACAAGCUGAAAUCUGCUUGAAGGAUAUAUAUUCAUCACUAUGAUGGAUCUUUUAUGGUUCCUGUGUCUCUAUGGAGCAGUUUCGUA